UAUUGCACAAUGGGCGCAAGCCUGAUGCAGCCAUGCCGCGUGUGUGAAGAAGGCCUUCGGGUUGUAAAGCACUUUCAGCGAGGAGGAAGGGUUCAGUGUUAAUAGCACUGUUCAUUGACGUUACUCGCAGAAGAAGCACCGGCUAACUCCGUGCCAGCAGCCGCGGUAAUACGGAGGGUGCAAGCGUUGAUCGGAAUUACUGGGCGUAAAGCGCACGCAGGCGGUUUGUUAAGUCAGAUGUGAAAUCCCCGCGCUUAACGUGGGAACUGCAUUUAAAACUGGCAAGCUAGAGUCUUGUAGAGGGGGGUAGAAUUCCAGGUGUAGCGGUGAAAUGCGUAGAGAUCUGGAGGAAUACCGGUGGCGAAGGCGGCCCCCUGGACAAAGACUGACGCUCAGGUGCGAAA
This 404-nucleotide ribosomal RNA is filed under the name uncultured bacterium. RNAcentral's name for it is "bacterial SSU rRNA". It matches the Rfam family "Bacterial small subunit ribosomal RNA", at positions 362 to 758 of the family's 1533-position model. The record is from RNAcentral.